Jaculus jaculus (lesser Egyptian jerboa) is the source of this 107-nucleotide small nuclear RNA. The record is from Ensembl. NCBI's taxonomy places the organism in Eukaryota, Metazoa, Chordata, Mammalia, Rodentia, Dipodidae.
GUGCUCGCUUUAGCAGCACAUAUGCUAAAAUUGAAAUGAUACAGAGAAGAUUAGCAUGGCCCCUACUCAAGGAUGACAUGCACAAAAUAGUGACUAUCUACUGCCUU